Molecule: ribosomal RNA, 301 nt
Filed under: uncultured bacterium
Lineage: Bacteria
Description: partial 16S ribosomal RNA
Rfam family: Bacterial small subunit ribosomal RNA
Source: RNAcentral
CAGCAGCCGCGGUAAUACGUAGGGUGCGAGCGUUAAUCGGAAUUACUGGGCGUAAAGCGUGCGCAGGCGGUUGUGUAAGACAGGUGUGAAAUCCCCGGGCUUAACCUGGGAACUGCGCUUGUGACUGCACAGCUAGAGUAUGGCAGAGGGGGGUGGAAUUCCACGUGUAGCAGUGAAAUGCGUAGAGAUGUGGAGGAACACCGAUGGCGAAGGCAGCCCCCUGGGCCAAUACUGACGCUCAUGCACGAGAGCGUGGGGAGCAAACAGGAUUAGAUACCCCCGUAGUCCCUGUCUCUUAUAC